AGUGGGCCAGGAGCUUUAUUUAGCUGGGCUGAAAUCCCGCAGACCUGGACAGCCCUCCUAAGCCACUGUCCUUGCUGCCCAAGAGGACAAAAGCUCGUGGACAGGCUCUGCCCCCUCUGGGAAGAGAGCCA
Microcebus murinus (gray mouse lemur) is the source of this 131-nucleotide unclassified non-coding RNA. The record is from Ensembl. Lineage: Eukaryota; Metazoa; Chordata; Mammalia; Primates; Cheirogaleidae.